Molecule: ribosomal RNA, 253 nt
Filed under: uncultured bacterium
Lineage: Bacteria
Description: partial 16S ribosomal RNA
Rfam family: Bacterial small subunit ribosomal RNA
Source: RNAcentral
UACGGAGGAUGCGAGCGUUAUCCGGAAUUAUUGGGCGUAAAGGGUCCGCAGGUGGCAGUGUAAGUCUGCUGUCAAAGAAUGAGGCUUAACCUCAUCAAGGCAGUGGAAACUACACAGCUAGAGUACGGUAGGGGUAGAAGGAAUUCCUGGUGUAGCGGUGAAAUGCGUAGAGAUCAGGAAGAACACCGGUGGCGAAAGCGUUCUGCUAGACCUGUACUGACACUGAGGGACGAAAGCUAGGGGAGCGAAUGGG